CUUCGGCGGGCCCGCCGCUUGUCGGCCGCCGGGGGGGCGCCUUUGCCCCCCGGGCCCGUGCCCGCCGGAGACCCCAACACGAACACUGUCUGAAAGCGUGCAGUCUGAGUUGAUUGAAUGCAAUCAGUUAAAACUUUCAACAAUGGAUCUCUUGGUUCCGGCAUCGAU
RNAcentral lists this unclassified non-coding RNA (168 nucleotides) under Aspergillus niger. RNAcentral's name for it is "sequence contains ITS1". The record is from RNAcentral. Lineage: Eukaryota; Fungi; Ascomycota; Eurotiomycetes; Eurotiales; Aspergillaceae.